Molecule: long non-coding RNA, 3484 nt
Filed under: Olea europaea subsp. europaea
Lineage: Eukaryota; Viridiplantae; Streptophyta; Magnoliopsida; Lamiales; Oleaceae
Source: RNAcentral
AGAGUUGCAUACUCUUUAUACUAUGAGCAUGUUUGGCAAAACUUUUACUAGAUUAUAAGAUGUGCUAUGAAAUUGUGGAUAAUGAGUGGGUAUAAGUUGCGAGUUCCAAGGAAAGUGGGGAUAAAAAUAGAUCUUGGCUAACUUGUAAGCAAAUUUAAGCUUUGCCAAACAUGUGCUCUGUUGCAUUAUUUUUGUUUCAUUAAAAAGCAUGUUGGGAGUUAGUAUAAUCAUUUCAAAUAGAUAGAUGGUGGGUAAGUGGGUAGUAUUUGUGGGUCCAACAGUAUGUUUGGAUACAAAGAUGUUUGAUCAAUUAUAAACAAACUAUAAACAGCUGCCAAACAUAUGCUUUGUUUACUUUUUGAUAAGUCAAUAAAUUAUUGAUAAGAAAAAUGCAUUACACAAUAUCCAAACGAUAUAUAAAGUUUCUCUGACAAAACCAUCCAGAUUGUCUUAUGGCCUCUCUGGCUGUGGACCAAACAACGUUCACCUAAUAAUAAUUUAUCGCUCAAUGUGUAUGCAUUGAUAGUGUGUUGCAUAAUUACAAGUCUACAUCACUGGAAAAUCAGUCAAUAUUGAUACCUCUUAAAAUUCAUUCAGAUGAUUUGACUCGCUUAAUUUCAGCAUAUUUGAUUAGCAGGUCUCUUCAACGACACAAUCACAAAUUUCUAUACCCUAAAAGACUUGGGAUUGAAAUUUUUAUCGUUAUGUAAAAUGAUAGAAGUAAUACCACACCACACAUGCAUCACAUUUAAUUAGCUUACGUUUCAAAUCAAAUAGAAAACAGUUUUUUAUUUGCCUGUUUAGCGUUGGUCACUAGGUCUCAAUGGGAAAAUUUUUCCCUACAUAUCGACUCUGAUUAGCUUGUCAAUCAGAAGAUAAUACAUGGCAAACUAAAACACUUACAAUACUGGUCCAGAUACACAAUUUGCAUAUCUAUUUAGGAUACUACUAUUUUUUCCAAAUCUGGUGAUGGCUGUUGGGAGGUAAUAUUGUCUAUCAGCUGAUGUUGCUAUUCUCCAGUUGUUUAUUAGCUUAGUAAUUAUUUAAAGUAGCCUCAUGAUAUUAAUCCACAUGCUUUUCAUUUGUGUAACUUGUUCUCACUUUCAAUGUCUAUCCUUCUCAUUCUUUCUAGUGCUCAAUGAGAAAUGAUUGGAUUUUGUUUUUGCAGGUUGGAUUUGUGACGGCUAUAUGCUUCACUUGUUUUCUUAUAAGAUGCUUUGUGGUAUGUGGUUUGAAAUGCCUCUCACUUGGUUAUUUGACGUAGUAGAAGUGCUUGCUCUGUUGAAAGAAUCUGAUUUUUCUUGUCUUUAUGGAUGCUCGCAUUGGUCUCACUAACAAACUCAGUGUUUCUGCAUGUGAAGAAGAGCCCGCUAACAGAUAUUCUUUCUGAAACCAAAGUUUGCAAAAAUAGCACUCAUGACUUGGUGGUGGUUUAAUUGUUGUGUUUUUUUUUAUCUUCCAGGGGGAGUAGUCCAAUAAGUUAAAAGAGUGCCCAAUGAAAAUCUCUCUCGGAAAUCUUUAAAAUAUUCUGGCAACAGUACUUGUUUCAGACUUUCAGGCAUACUUAACUUCCCAUCAUUUCUUUAAUUAUCCGUGGGAAGCAUCCCACAGUUUUUGCUUAUUAUUGAUUUAUCCCCAUAUAACACGCAUUGUUCUGUCGCUAUUUCCGAGUGUCCUAAUUAUUUAUUGACUGCACAUAGAAUUAACAUGUGUCAAAUUUUAAUAACAAACAUUUUUAUUUUUAUUUUUGGGUGGAGAUUGUCCAUUAUCUACUUGUACAUCUAGGGUUCAAUUUGUAUCAUGGCUACUAUAGAACUUGAACAAUUUUGGCAAUGAAAAAAAUUGAUUCAUAGGGAGAAAACGAGGCAAAUUUUGAUUAAGAAAUUUAUUAGAAAAAUUAAGAACAAAACAAAUAGCACACAUCCAGAAGCCAUAUUGAGUGCUUUCUGGCAUGUUUUUUUCUCACUUUUGACUGCCUGGAGCUUCUUAGGAUUUUGGCACUAGGCAGAGUUCAGUAUACCAAGCUAAAUACAACUAUGCAUGAGAUGAUGUUUAUUAUUUAUUGAAUUUAUUGGAGUACAGCGUAAAUGUUGCUUUGUGAGGUGUAGGACGUGGGAGUUUAGUGUAUAUUUUCUUAAUUACAAGGGAAUUGCGAGGGAAAGGAUUUGUAGGCCAAUAUGUACCGAUUUCUUCACCUGACAUAAGUCCGCAAACGUGGUUGCUGUCAUUUUAAGUUCUUUACUCAGAAUUCUCAUGCAUUAGUCUUGUGUGAAUAAAUUUCCCAGACAUCUACAGACGUGGAAAAGCAUAAAGCAAUCCUAAGUUGGAAAAUUGGAUUUACUUUUUAGAAUUCUGUAGCAUAUCUUAGCCUGUGCUUGGCUCAUUUUUAUAAACAUUUAAACUACUUUUUAUCCACACAUUUUGUGGGAUCCACAAGUAUUGUCCCAUUUAUCCACAACUCAUUUUUGUCUAUUUAUAACCAAAACUGUUUAUAAACUUUUUCCAAACAUGCUUUUAGUUUCCUGUGUGAUAUACUUCUCUUUGUACUACAUUCUUAGAUGCACUCUUUAUUGAUUUUAUGAAGCCUAUAUUUUGCAACAUUCUGCAGGUUGGGCUAUCUGCUUUCGACGCAGAUGCAUCUCUUGAAGUAUUGGACCAUCCAAUUUUGAAUCUCAUCUAUUACAUGGUAAACUGCUUUUAUCAAGUUUGCCAACCUUUUCUUCCCUAGUUUUGUGUUCACACACAGCUUAUGCAAAAACAGCUGGUCGAGAUUCUUCCUUCAGCACUUGUGUUGUUCAUACUGCGCAAGCUACCUCCCAAAAGAGUAUCAGCUCAAUACCAUCCCAUCCGCUAGCCAUGGAUCGUUUUUGUUGGCAGUGGUAUUGAGUUGGGUUCCCAAGGUUCCAGUUUAGAGAUUAGUGACCUUGAAGCGAUUGAAGUGGAGCCUGGAAUCCAGAUGUCUUAUUUUUCUGGAGUGGCUUGUCCUCAGAAGUUCUUUUUACCUGUAUGUAUAUGGAGCUCAAGCUGAGAGAGAUUCAGUUCUUGUUUUGAUUUUGUGGGUUGGAAAAAGUUCACAAUUUGCCAGCAUUUUAUGGAAGUUAGCACGUGAUGAAAUUAUUCAUCAUUGUAAUGUGGAGAUUUUGUUAGAUUGGAACUUUUUGAGUACUUGGUCGUUUAUAAAUAAUAUCCACCACCUGCAAGGUGAUUAGGUGGGUUGAAGUACAACCCAUUUGUUGUAAAGCUUUACGGUGCUUGGGGCCUCGGGAAAUAGUUACAUCAGCUCAAGUGAAAUUGUAUAGAUUCCUAUCAAUCCCAAGCCUGGGUCACAUCCAGGAUCACUGUAAUUUUGCGUUCCACUAGGGAAUUGUAAGCUAUAAUUUGGCAUGGCCAGAUGGUGUGAUGGCGGUAUGUCCACAUAUCUGAUCAAUUCUGCCGAAUAUCAAUCUCACUCCAACGUCCGCCUUAUGCAGAACUAACGUUUUUU